Molecule: ribosomal RNA, 279 nt
Filed under: uncultured bacterium
Lineage: Bacteria
Description: partial 16S ribosomal RNA
Rfam family: Bacterial small subunit ribosomal RNA
Source: RNAcentral
UGCCAGCCGCCGCGGUAAUACGGAGGGUCCAAGCGUUAUCCGGAUUUAUUGGGUUUAAAGGGUGCGUAGGCGGAAUAAUAAGUCAGUGGUGAAAUCCUGCGGCUCAACCUGGGAAUUGCAUUCGAUACUGCUUAGCUAGAGUAUGAGAGAGGGUAGUGGAAUUCCGGGUGUAGCGGUGAAAUGCGUAGAUAUCCGGAGGAACAUCAGUGGCGAAGGCGGCUGCCUGGCUCAAUACUGACACUGAGGUGCGAAAGCGUGGGGAGCGAAAGGGAUUAGAUA